UGGCAAGAGAGGGUCACCCCCAUAAGUGGAAUUACAAACCACCGCCUAAAUUUUCAGCCAUCUUACC
This 67-nucleotide transfer RNA is filed under the name Trapelus savignii. RNAcentral describes it as "tRNA-Tyr". Lineage: Eukaryota; Metazoa; Chordata; Lepidosauria; Squamata; Agamidae. The record is from RNAcentral.